AUUAAGUUAAUAAGUAUAUUUUGAAUUUCAUUUACAUUUAUAUAGAUAAUCUACCAAGCGAAUUGAGGUUUUUCAUUUACUGUCUUAAACUCAAUGAUGUAUAAGUUGUAUAUGAUGUAUAAGUAGUAUAGGUACAAUAUAUAUACUUUUCAAAUUGCCCGCCAAAUCCAGAGAACUGUCAAUUGUCUAGAAGCUCCGAAGCAAAGUAUUUGGUUUUCUCUAGACGCGUCUUGGGAGUGUCAAUAAGAAUGGCGGCGUGAGUUUUCUAAUUAUAUAAUUAAAAUAAGUUAUUUCCAGUUGCAUAGUUCCAUUAUUGUUGUUGCAAGUUAUAGAAAGUUGAGUGAAUUAAAGUGACGGAAUAAUGAAACUGUAAGAAAAAGGAUCUCACACCGCCAUUCGGGAGAAAUCUAUUAUUACCGCUGGUAAACCCUCUCUAACACCGAGAGCAGACACUUCCAAGAUUCAGUCAACCAGGGAACAAGUCUAAGGAUACAGUCCCAUUUGUUUUGUUUUGGUUCAUCAUCCUGCAUCCUCCGAGGGACAGGUUCAUUAGCUAUUGGGCAGUUGCACCACUUCGGUGUUAACUUCGUACCACGGAUUUGGUACCACACACCAAGGAUCAGUGUUGGAACGCGUGAAAAGGGGUUUGUUUUGGGGGACAAUUAUUCAUACUAGUUAAAGACUUAUACUGUUUUUUUUUUGUAAUAUUCAGGACAUUUAAGUUAGAUACACAUAAGUUCAUAAUUUAAUUACACAUAAAUAUUUUUUUCUUUCUCUACAAAUUUAAGUACAUUUUAGUUAUAAUAACCAUGCCUAACAGUUAGUACUGUUCCCCCAAAUUUAUAUAAUUCUUGGUAGAAGUUUCGAGCUCGAAGAUUCUCCCCAUACAUGUUCUUUCCCCUUGGUUCGUAUUAAUUUUAGACUUGUUUUCUCAGUUAAUUUAAAAAUAAUAUUAGUUCAAUUCACCUAAAUUUAAAAUCAUUCAACUUAUUUCAUAAUUUUUCAAUUUGUAUUAGAUUUUUGUAAAUAUUAUUUAACGUUAACUAUUAAUUUUUUUAUAUUAUAUUUGAAUAAAUCCCUAGUACCCAUCCCCUCAGGAAGGUACUAGUUUUACUUGCGAUUAUUAUUUAGAACCACUAGUCAGAAAAGGAUCUUUUGUAUCCAGUACUAAGUUGGUUCAUUUAGGGACUUGUUACCCGUCAACACAUUGAGAGUUGUAAAAUAUAUAUUAUUUACAUUAGGUAUUUUCCUUAUUCUAUUAUCAGGUAGUAUUCAAUUAGGGUGUACGUAUUAAAAUCGUACAAGUGUUAUUUGGUGAAGGGUUCAUACUAAUCUAGGUGUAAGUUGUACUUUCUGUAUUAGAGGUACCCUUAUUCAGAUUUUCUAACCUUAUUAAGAUUAUUCUUAGAUCACAUUUGUGUGAUAAUUUUUUAAUUGACUUUCACUAGUAUCAUUUUUUUGUCAUGUUAGAGUCACAGACUAGUUACUUGUCUUAACUCGGAGAUUGUGAACAUCUAGUAGUUAAAUUUAAUAAAUAUAUAUUUAUUGUG
Molecule: long non-coding RNA, 1550 nt
Filed under: Diabrotica virgifera virgifera (western corn rootworm)
Lineage: Eukaryota; Metazoa; Arthropoda; Insecta; Coleoptera; Chrysomelidae
Description: uncharacterized LOC126888855
Source: RNAcentral